Molecule: ribosomal RNA, 267 nt
Filed under: uncultured bacterium
Lineage: Bacteria
Description: partial 16S ribosomal RNA
Rfam family: Bacterial small subunit ribosomal RNA
Source: RNAcentral
GUCCACGCCCUAAACUAUGUCUACUAGUUGUUGGGGGAGUUAAAUCCCUUAGUAACGCAGCUAACGCGAGAAGUAGACCGCCUGGGGAGUACGGUCGCAAGAUUAAAAACUCAAAGGAAUUGACGGGGGCCCGCACAAGCGGUGGAUGAUGUGGUUUAAUUCGAUGCAACGCGAAAAACCUUACCUACCCUUGACAUGUCCGGAAUCCUGCAGAGAUGCAGGAGUGCCCGAAAGGGAACCGGAACACAGGUGCUGCAUGGCUGUCGU